Molecule: long non-coding RNA, 286 nt
Organism: Musca vetustissima
Lineage: Eukaryota; Metazoa; Arthropoda; Insecta; Diptera; Muscidae
Exons: 3
Source: RefSeq, a predicted model, not a curated record
UUCGUUUUCCUCCCUCUUUUCACCCACAUCAUGUCUUCAAUUAAAGGAUUCAAUGAUCUUUAAAAGAACACAUGAUCUAAUUCGAUGCAUGUUCAUAACAACAACUAUAAAUGCGUCCCCAAAGACAACGCGUGGGAUUUGUUGAUGUUAAGAUCGGGACACCGUUCAUUAAAAGGAUACGUUGUAAAAUCAAAUCCUCUACUCUUCCAAAUGACUUAUCACAAUUUUUGUAGAACACCAACUGGUUGCCUUAAAAUCAAUUUUAAUAAAAACUUUUUAAUUAGUG